GAAUAUUGCACAAUGGGCGAAAGCCUGAUGCAGCGACGCCGCGUGGGGGAUGAAGGCCUUCGGGUUGUAAACUCCUUUCGCUAGGGACGAAGAUGUAUUUUGACGGUACCUGGAGACGAAGCACCGGCUAACUACGUGCCAGCAGCCGCGGUAAUACGUAGGGUGCGAGCGUUGUCCGGAAUUACUGGGCGUAAAGAGCUCGUAGGUGGUUUGUCGCGUCGUCUGUGAAAUCCCGGGGCUUAACUUCGGGCGUGCAGGCGAUACGGGCAUAACUUGAGUGCUGUAGGGGAGACUGGAAUUCCUGGUGUAGCGGUGAAAUGCGCAGAUAUCAGGAGGAACACCAAUGGCGAAGGCAGGUCUCUGGGCAGUAACUGACGCUGAGGAGCGAAAGCAUGGGUGGCGAACAGG
RNAcentral lists this ribosomal RNA (408 nucleotides) under uncultured bacterium. RNAcentral's name for it is "bacterial SSU rRNA". It matches the Rfam family "Bacterial small subunit ribosomal RNA", at positions 359 to 776 of the family's 1533-position model. The record is from RNAcentral.